Molecule: ribosomal RNA, 1496 nt
Filed under: uncultured spirochete
Lineage: Bacteria; Pseudomonadati; Spirochaetota; Spirochaetia; Spirochaetales
Description: 16S ribosomal RNA
Rfam family: Bacterial small subunit ribosomal RNA
Source: RNAcentral
AGAGUUUGAUCAUGGCUCAGAACGAACGUUAGCGAGAUGUUUUAAGCAUGCAAGUCGAGCGGCAGCACUUCGGGUGGCAAGCGGCGAACGGGUGAGUAGUAGUUAGCAACUUGCCCCCCAGACGGGAAUAGCCACUGUAAUGGUGAUUAAUGCCCGAUAUUGAGGAAACUUGAAAGGCGCGUUGGUGCCGCUGGGGGAUAGGGCUAACCCCUAUUAGCUUGUUGGUAGGGUAAGAGCCUACCAAGGCGAUGAUAGGUAGCCGGCCUGAGAGGGCGAUCGGCCACACUGGGACUGAGAUACGGCCCAGACUCCUACGGGAGGCAGCAGCUGAGAAUAUUCCGCAAUGGGGGAAACCCUGACGGAGCAAUUUCGCAUGGACGAUGAAGGCUUUCGAGUUGUAAAGUCCUUUCGGCAGGAAAGAAUAAUGCAGUAAGGAAAUGUGCUGCAGAUGACGGUACCUGCAAAAGAAGCCCCGGCUAACUACGUGCCAGCAGCCGCGGUAAUACGUAGGGGGCGAACGUUGUUCGGAAUCACUGGGCGUAAAGGGUGCGCAGGCUGCUCAUCAAGUCAGUUGUGAAAUUUCGUGGCUCAACCACGAAGCUGCUGCUGAUACUGUUGGGCUAGAGUCAUAGAUAGAGGUAGCGGGAAUUCCUGGUGUAGGAGUGAAAUCUGUAGAUAUCAGGAGGAACACCAAGGGUGAAGACAAGCUACUGGGUAAUGACUGACGCUGAGGCACGAAAGCUAGGGGAGCAAAUGGGAUUAGAGACCCCAGUAGUCCUAGCCGUAAACACUGUACACUAGCUUUAAGGGAUGACGAGAGUCUUCUUUUGAAACGUAGCUAACGCAUUAAGUGUACCGCCUGGGUAGUAUGCACGCAAGUGUGAAACUCAAAGAAAUUGACGGGGGCUCGCACAAGUGGUGGAGCAUGUGGUUUAAUUCGAUGAUACGCGAAAAACCUUACCUGGGCUUAAACGUCUUCUGACAGGCGGUGAAAGUCGUUUUCCCUUCGGGGCAGGAGGCGAGGUGCUGCAUGGCUGUCGUCAGCUCGUGUUGUGAAAUGUUGGGUUAAGUCCCGCAACGAGCGCAACCCAUGUCCUAUGUUGCUAGUCGCUCUUCGGAGCGAAGAACUCUUAGGAGACUGCCUGUGGAUAACCAGGAGGAAGGAGUGGAUGACGUCAAGUCCUCAUGGCCCUUAUGUCCAGGGCUACACACGUGCUACAAUGGGUUCUACAAAGAGAUGCUAAGCUGCGAAGCCAAGCCAAUCUCAAAAAAGAACUCUUAGUUCGGAUUGGAGUCUGCAAUUCGACUCCAUGAAGCUGGAAUCACUAGUAAUCGCGGAUCAGCAUGCCGCGGUGAAUGCGUUCUCGAGCCUUGUACACACCGCCCGUCAAACCAUCCGAAUCGAUUUUACCCGAAGUCGCAAUACCAACCUUUUAGGGGGAAUGCGCCGAAGGUGGAUUUGGUAAGGAGGGUUAAGUCGUAACAAGGUAACCGUA